AUGUUUCGAGAUAAGCAAAAGAAGGAUAAUAGAACAUUCACAUUUUUGUCCUUCUAAUUUUCGGCCCACUCAUCCAGCCCAAACUCCUUUUAUUUACGUAUGCAUGUUAUAUUGUCAGAAUGUUCCCCAAAAGCAAACCCUAAUUCACCUCACUAGCAAUCAAACGCUGCUGCCUCCCCUUCUCCUUUCUUUUGUUCACGCUAACAAGGCACAAGCAAUCCAAGGUUCGUUCGGUUCGCAAGCUCUAGCGAUCCAUCACCCCUUCUAAACUCGGACGUGACUGACCGACCUUGACUGUGAGCUAUUUUUAAGAGUCAAACCGAGCAAACCAAGGUCGUUAGGUGCGUAGAUGGAGCUUGCACGAGGAGGAGAGGUCGUUGUGGGACAUGGACUGUUGAGUUCCAUGUUAAACUUAUGAACUUUUAACUUAUGUUUUGGGUUUUGAACUUUAUGCUUCCGCUGAUAACUUUAACUUGGUUGAAUUGUUUUGACACCAAUUAUAUUGUUUGGAUUGGACUUUUAUUUACUUAAUUUAUAUUGUUCAAUAUGAU
Molecule: long non-coding RNA, 551 nt
Filed under: Helianthus annuus (common sunflower)
Lineage: Eukaryota; Viridiplantae; Streptophyta; Magnoliopsida; Asterales; Asteraceae
Source: RNAcentral